AAGGCGGAGCUCCCCUGGAUGGCGUCAGGUUUGCAGGCACAGAGCACAGCCCACCAGGCCUGAAGGUCCGCUCAGGGGCCAUAGUGGUUGAGUUCUCUGUGGAACUGGGAUGGGGUGAACGGCCAGUUCCCGUCCUUUGGCCACCUGGCCAACUGCCAGACUUAACCGCUGCCGCCCAGGAAUCUGUCUCUAGCGUAGCCACUACUUGGGUAGAAGUGGGGGUCGGGGUGGGGCGUCACCGGUUGCCAGGCCAGCACUGUCUUUGCAACAUAUUCAGAUGGCGGCGGGCAGCUCAGGCGCCAGCAUGGGCUGGCGGGGCUCCCCUGGACGGCCCUCAGGUCGCUCACAGCAUUGUCCCAGGACUUCCUCGGCCUGUGCCAGGUGGGCAAGGUACGGGGGUAGCUUCGAAGGCUUCUAUCCCAACUCUACCUAUUUCUAUCUAUCUUCUCUUGAGUUAUUUUGCCUUUAUCUCAGUUUUAUUUGCAAAAAUAGUAUACGCAAAAUACAUCGAGUGAAUGCACAUCAGGCAUAUAGAAGAUCUGGCAGAAACAUGUUUUCUCCUGCCCAUUUCCAGUCAGUAUUUGAACACAGAGGCUUCCACGGUUUUGAUUCUUUCCACAAAAGGUUAGUUUUGUCUGUUUUCACCAUUUAUGUAAGUGAAACUAUAAAUUAUAUAAUUUUUAUGUUCACUCACUAAACAUGCUUGUGACACAUCAUUUUGCUCCUAUUGAUUAUUCAUUAUUUUCUAAUAUUCAACUUUAUGACUAUACCACAGGUUUGAGGCCUUUGCUUGUUUUGUUUUUAAUCCAUUCCACUAUUGAUAGACACAAAAGCAGUUUCUGAUUUGAGGCUAUCAUGAAUAAACCUGCUACGAACAAAUCAGAUAUACAUAUUUUUUUCUGUAAUAAUAUUUUCACUUUUCUUGAGUUUAAGUACAUAAGAGUGGAUUUUCUGGGUUAUAAAAUAAGUAUAUAUUUGGCAUUGUAUGAAAUGGGGAGACAUUUUCCUAAGUGGUUAUGCCAUCUUAAACUACAAUGAAAAUGAGAGAAUCAGUUCCACUUUCUAACCAAUACUUGAUGCUGUCAGUUGUUUUAGUAUUAUCCAUUCUUAUGGGAUAUAACUGCUGAGUAGCUGUCUGCCUUCUCCCAUGACACAGAAAAUUGAGGGCCCAGAGGACAGUUUUAUUUUCAUAUUUGACAUCUUCUAUUAUUUUUUAUAGAAGGAUGAUUUCAGUAGUAAAAUUUUCUUUCAAUUUUCUAGGUUGUCUCUGAAUCUUACUGGGGUUCCUUGUCCUAAACCACUCUCAGGAAUGCUGUCCCUCAUUGGGACCACAACACCCAGAUGAUUUUUUUUUUUUUUGUAGAAAGAGGAGCCUUGCUAUGUUGCCCAAGCUGGCCUCAAACUCCCACCCUCGAGAUCUGCCCAUCUCGACAACCAGAGUAACUGGUUCUACAGGAAAAUACCACUAUCCCAUGAUAAUUAUAUUUUAUUAAUUUUUAUUUGCAUAGACAGGAGGUCUUGCUAUGUUGCCCAGGGUGGUCUCAGACUCCUGGACUCAAACAAUUCUCCCAUCUGUGCCAUCUGUGCCUCCCAAAGUGCUCCCAAAGUGCUGACGCCACAGGCGUAAGCCACUGCACCUGGCCCGACUUAAGAUGUCUUUAAUCUAGCAUCCCAUACUUCAUAUAAUCAGGAAAAGCAGUAGUGUUUUUUUUUUUUAAUUACUUAGUAUCUCAACAAGAAUCAACCAUCUCUCACCAUUGCCAGGACCCUGGUCAGAACCACUAUCAUCUCCUACCUGGAUGUUGCCACAGCUUGGCCUCCGUGCUUCUACCCAAAUCUUCCCACAAUCUUUCUCAACUCAGCCACCAUGGGAUGCUUUUAAAUCAAUAGACAGUUCGUGUCACCUCUCUGCUCAGAACCCUUCCGCAUCUCCCAUCUCAGACAGCAUAAAAGCCAAAGCCCCAGCAAUAGCCUCCCAGGGCUUGCACAAUCUGUACUGAUCUGAGUCCCACAACUCCCUGGCCUCCUCCCCUACCUUCUCUCCCCCUCUCUGCUCGACAAUCCUCUUUCCUGAGCUUCAGACACACCACGGAGUUCCCUCUUAGCAUCUUUAUUCUGUUGUUUCUGCCUAUAAUGCUCUUCCCUCAGUACCUUGGCCAGCUCCUUCCCCUCCUUCAAGUCUUUGCUCAAUUUUCACUUAGGAGGCCAACCCUGACCACUCUAUUUAAUAUUGCUAUGUGUCCCCAUUCCUGCCAUGCUCACUCAUUUCUUUUUACUUUUUUUUUAAGAUAUAAUCUCGCUGUGUCACUCAGGCUGGGGCACCAUGGCACGAUCACAACACACUGAGACCUGGAACUCCUAGGUCAAGAAAUCGUCCUGCCUCAGCGCCUCUAGUAGCUAAGACUACAAGUGCAUGCCACUACACCCGCUAAUUUUUUUUUCCCAUGUAGACAGGGUAUCACUUUGUUGCCCAGGCUUAUCUUGAACUCCUGGGCCAGAGCAACCAUCCUGCCUCAGCCUCCUAAAUAGCUGGAAUUAUAGGUGUGGGCCACUACCCCUGGCUUCAUGUUCAUUUCUUCUUGCUGCUGUUACAAACUACCCUACGUUGAGUGGCUUAAUACACCACAAAUCUACUACCUAACAGGUCUGGGGGCCAGAAGUCCAAAAUAGGUCUAUUAAGGCUAAAGUCAAGGUGUCAGCAGGACUGCAUCCCUUCUGGAGGUUCCAGAGAGAAGGUGUUCCCUUGCCUUUCCCAGUUCCAAAAGCCACCCCUAUUCUUUGCCUCAUGGCCCCUAAAUGCAUCUUCAAAGCCAGAAGCAAAGCAUAUUCAAAUCUCCCUCUGUGACCUGUGCUUCCACCAUCAAAUCUCCUUCAAUUCUGACUCUCUUACCUCCCUCUUUCACUUAUAAAGACCUCUUGUGAUUGCUGGACACAGAGGCCGGGGCUCACAACCAUAAUCCCAACAGUUUAGGAGGUCAAAGCAGGAGAAAUGCUUGAGGCCAGAAGUUCGGGACCAGCCUGGGAAACACAGUGAGACCCCCCCCCCCUCAAUUAAACAACAAAAAGAAAUAAGAGAAAAUUAGCUGGGCAUGGUGGUAUGCAUCUGUAGUUUCAGCUACUUGAGAGGCUGUGGUGAAAGGAUUGCUUUAGCCCCAGAGUUCAAGACCAGCCUCGGCAAUAUAACAAGAUCCCAUCUCUAC
Molecule: long non-coding RNA, 3200 nt
Filed under: Homo sapiens (human)
Lineage: Eukaryota; Metazoa; Chordata; Mammalia; Primates; Hominidae
Description: non-protein coding lnc-FOXD4L6-6:1
Source: RNAcentral